Molecule: transfer RNA, 64 nt
Filed under: Brassica rapa (field mustard)
Lineage: Eukaryota; Viridiplantae; Streptophyta; Magnoliopsida; Brassicales; Brassicaceae
Rfam family: tRNA
About the family: Transfer RNA (tRNA) molecules are approximately 80 nucleotides in length. Their secondary structure includes four short double-helical elements and three loops (D, anti-codon, and T loops).
Source: Rfam by way of RNAcentral
GGUCCCAUGGUCAGGACAUUGGACUCUGAAUCCAGUAAUCCGAGUUCAAGUCUCGGUGGGACCU